UCCAGACUCCUACGGGAGGCAGCAGUGAGGAAUAUUGGUCAAUGGCCGAGAGGCUGAACCAGCCAAGUCGCGUGAGGGAAGACGGCCCUACGGGUUGUAAACCUCUUUUGUCGGGGAGCAAAGCGAGUCACGUGUGACUCAUUGAGAGUACCCGAAGAAAAAGCAUCGGCUAACUCCGUGCCAGCAGCCGCGGUAAUACGGAAGGUCCGGGCGUUAUCCGGAUUUAUUGGGUUUAAAGGGAGCGUAGGCCGGUCUUUAAGCGUGCCGUGAAAUUUUGUGGCUCAACCAUGAGAGUGCGGCGCGAACUGGAGACCUUGAGUGCGCGGAAGGCAGGCGGAAUUCGUGGUGUAGCGGUGAAAUGCUUAGAUAUCACGAAGAACCCCGAUUGCGAAGGCAGCAUACGGCAGCGCUACUGACGCUGAAGCUCGAAGGCGCGGGUAUCGAACAGGAUUAGAUACCCCAGUACG
This 467-nucleotide ribosomal RNA is filed under the name uncultured bacterium. RNAcentral's name for it is "bacterial SSU rRNA". It matches the Rfam family "Bacterial small subunit ribosomal RNA", at positions 330 to 793 of the family's 1533-position model. The record is from RNAcentral.